AGAAGGUAAUACAUCUUGCUAGAGGACCUAAGAGUCAAGCUGGAAAAUAGGAUAGGAAUUUUGGUAGAAAUAUAAGGGACAUAUCGAAAUCCAGACAUGCAAAAAAGGUGUCUUUGCUGUAAGAAGAAAGAACAUAUUAGGUCUAAUUACUAUUCUUUGAGAAAACAAAAAUAAGGCUGCUGGAGCUACUAAAAGAAGAAAGUAGCAUGUUAACAUAGCAGAGGCUGAUUUUAUGGAAUAUAGGCAAAGUAAAGGAGAGCUUCUUGUAAUUUCUAACAUGGAUUCCAAAUUUUGUGAGAAAUGGGUUCUUGACUUGCCUUGUACUUCCAUAUAUGCUCCAACAGGGACUGGUUUACAACAUAUGAAUGAGUUUGGAGAGGUGCAGUGAUUAUAGGAAACAACGGGCCUUGCAAAAUCAUCGAAGUUGGUACAAUUAGAAUCAGAAUAUUUGAUGGUACUUUCAUAACACUUACAAACGUCAGGUACGUUCCAGAACUGAAGCAAGAAAACUCUACAUAGUUGUACAUUUUACAGGGUUCCAUAGUUACAGAAGAUACAGCAGUCUUUACUUCUUUUUUGACUAAUGAGAAAGUUAUAAAACUAAGGUAUAUGCAAGUUGGGCAUAUGAGUAAGAAUGGUACGGUAGAAUUGAGUAGGAGGGAACUUCUUGAUGGACAGAAGACCAGUAAGAUAAAGCUUUUGAGCAUUGUGUUUUCAAGAAACAGAAAAUGGUCAGAUUUACUACAGAAAGACAUAAUACAAAGGGAAUACUUGAGUAUAUCCAUUCAAAUCUUGGAGGAUCAGUCAGGGUACCUUCAAGAGGAGGUGUUUAUUAUCUAUUAACAAUGAUUGAUGAUUUCUCCAAGAAAGUUUGAGUAUUCUUCUUGAAACUGAAGAGUGAUAUGUUUGGGAUCUUCAAGGAAUGGAAAACAAUGAUGAAAAAGCAGACUAAUAGGCAAAUUAAGCGUAUAUGCACAGGUAAUGGGCUAGAGUUUUAUUCGGAUGAGAUCAAUAGCUUUCUGUAGGGUUGAAGACAUCUUGAGACACUUGAUAGUGCUCGAAACUCCUCAACAAAAUGGUGUAACAAAAUAGAUGAAUAGAAGUUUGAUGGAAAAGAUUCGUUGUAAGCUUUCAAAUUUUGAGCUACCUAAGAUUUUUUGGGCUGAAGCUAUUGUUACAUCUUAUUUUCUGAUUAAUCACCCACUCUCAACUGUCAUUGAGAAAAAGACGCCAGAAGAUGUAUGGUCUGAAAAACCUUCUUGUUAUAUUGGUUUGAAGAUUUUCGGUAUCCUGCGUAUGCUUAUGCUCGUGUGGAUAAUGAAAAGUUGGACCCUAUGUCUAGAAAAUGUGUCUUUCUUGGGUAUAAAUCAGGGGUGAAGAGGUAUAAAUUGUAGUGUACUUAUAUGAGAAAGGUAGUAGUCAAUAGAGAUGUAGUAUUUGAUGAACUUGCUAUAGUUCAUGAUUCACCUCGUUGGGAUUCCAAUAAGUAGAACAAAAUCAUUCAACUCGAGUGGAGUUGAAAAUUGGUUCAGAAGAACAAUAAGAGGUUUCAAAACAAUCUACUCCAAAACAGUGCAGUUCAAAAUUACUAGAUAGUAUAUUUUGCCUAUUUUACCUGCACCACCACAGUACUCAAUUGCUAAAGUAGACCUCACAGACAGAUUAGACCUCCACAAAAGAUGGAGAAGCAGACUUGAUAGCGUAUGCUUUAAAUGUGGUUGAAGAAAUUGAUUCCACUGAGGAACCUAAUAUAUAGAGAGGCAUCAGUGAUUUUAGCAGAUGGUUGAUUUCUAUGUAGAAUGAGAUAGAGUCAUUGAAUAAAAAUUGUAUUUGAGACUUGGUGAAAUUAUCUAAAGAUAAAAAGGUUGUUCGCUGCAAGUGGGUGUUCAAAAAGAAAGAAAGAAUAUCAAUGAUUGAAGAUACUAGGUAUAAGGCCAAAUUGGUAGCAAAGGGCUAUAGUCAAAUUUCAGGUGUUGACUUCAUAGGUGUUCUCACCGGUUGUAAAGCAUAGUUCAAUUCGGACUUUAUUUGGGAUAGUGACAAAGAAUGACUUUGAACUUGAACAGAUGGACGUCAAGACAACAUUUUUGGAUGGAGAACUUAAGGAGAACAUUUACAUGCAACAACCAAAGAGUUUCUUAGUUUGUGGGAAGGAAGUCUAUGUGUACUUGUUGAAGGUUUUUGUAUGGACCAAAGCAGUCACUAAGGCAAUGGUAUAGAAGGUUCGAUUUAUUCAUAACUAAUCAUAGUUUUAGGAAAAGUAAUUAUGACAGUUGUGUGUACUUCAGAAAGGAAGUUCGUGGAUCGAUCACAUAUUUGUUGUUAUAUGUUGAUGAUAUGCUCAUUGCAAUUAAGGAUAAAGCAGAGACCAGAAAGAUGAAAUCUCAACUUGAUAAGGAGUUUGAGAUGAAGGAUUUAGGUGCAACAAAGAAAAUUAUUGGUAUGGAAAUCUUGAAGGAUAGAAAGAUUGGUAAAUUGUAUUUGAGUCAGAAGGGGGUACAUUGAGAAGUUGCUUUAAAGGUUCAAUAUGAUGAAUGUUACGUCUGUCAGUACUCCCUUGGCUGCCCACUUCAAAUUAUCAUUUGGAUCGUGUCCUUAAUCAAAUGAAGACAUUGAUUAUAUAUCUUGGAUUCCUUAUUCCAGUGUUGGUUCUCUAAUAUGUAUUAUGGUUUGUACAAGACCAAAUCUGACACAUGCAGUUAGUGCUGUUAGUAGGUACAUGGCAAAUCCUGGCAAAAAACAUUGGAAAGUAGUGCAAUUGAAGUUUAGAUACUUGAAGGGUGUUCAACUAAUGCUUACUCACAUUUUAAGUAAAAAUACAGCUAGAGUCAUUGGGCAUGUGGAUUCAAAUUAUGCAGGAGAUCAGUUACAGGAUAUGUGUUUACUCUUGGAGGCUAUACUAUUAGCUGGAAAGCUACUAUGCAAAAUACAAUAGCUUUGUCUACAGUAGAGGCAGAGUACAUGACUAUUACAGAGGCAUAUAAGGAGGAUAUGCAAUUAAAGAGUUUAAUUGGUAAAAUAAAUGAAGACUUGUGCAUUUCUACAGUAUAUGUGAUAGUAGUGUUAUUUUUCUAACUAAGGCCCAAAUAUUCCAUGAAAGGACUAAACACGUUGAUGUGAGGUAUCAUUUUGUGAGUGAAGUGAUUGUUCGUGGUGAUAUCUUAGUGAGCAAGGUAUAUCAAGGAUAAUCCUAUAAUCCUACUAAUAUGAUUACAAAAUCACUUUCCAUUGCUAAGUUUGAGCAUUGCUUGAACUUAGUUGGUAUUUGUCAUUAAUUUAGUCCUUUGAGGCUUGUUUGGAAAAGGAGUGGUGUUUGCUUUGAAUAUGUGUUUUUGAAAUUUCUUGUAUUGAAAUUUGGUUCAAGUUGGAGAUUUGUUGUAAUGUCACUUAAAUUCUAGUGCCUAUUGAAGUCCUAGUUGAAGUGGUCUUGAAGAGAUCAAAAUUAUAAAUCGAGAAGAAAAGUCACCACACUUUCACUAGCUUGUCGCCAACUAGAUGCUCAAGCAAAACCAACAAAUUUUCAAGAGAAAGAUCUUUCCCGCCUGAUGCUUGAGUGGCGAACGACAUCUCUCGCUUGUCGCUCGGGCGAAAGGGUUUCCCGAGUUUUUCAUUUUAACGCAUUUUGGACUUCUAUUUAUCUUAAACUCGGUUUCUAGUUUUAUAUAUAUAUAAGCUAUGACUUAUAUUGUUCCCAAAACAUUCAUAUAAUAUCUUGAGAGUUUUAGAUCUUAAUUGAGAGUAUUGAGAUCUUGUUAUAAACACAAUUGCUAUUGAUUUUAGUGGAUUUCUCCUCCUUU
RNAcentral lists this long non-coding RNA (3797 nucleotides) under Olea europaea subsp. europaea. Lineage: Eukaryota; Viridiplantae; Streptophyta; Magnoliopsida; Lamiales; Oleaceae. The record is from RNAcentral.